Long non-coding RNA from Lathyrus oleraceus (garden pea), 1495 nucleotides. RefSeq lists it as uncharacterized. The record is from RefSeq and is a predicted model, not a curated record. The transcript has 2 exons. NCBI's taxonomy places the organism in Eukaryota, Viridiplantae, Streptophyta, Magnoliopsida, Fabales, Fabaceae.
UCUCAUCACUCUCCCUCAUGUUUCCUAUCUCUCUCACGUUUCCUCUCUCACACACAUUACCCUCAUUUCCAUCAUCACACUCCAUCAACGUCUCUCUGCUACAAAAGAAAGCAAAUGAAAAGAAAAAGACCGACUGCUCUCUCUCUCAAAAAGAAGAAAAAGAAAACUAAAAAGAGAGGACAAUAAAAAGAAUCCUCACUCACUUUCCUCAACAACUCCCUCGCCACUACAACCGCCGGAAAACCCAACCUCCACAACAUCACUCCACUACAUCCAUACAACCUUCACGCACAGUUCCAUAUUCAAACCUUCACCACCCUCACAACCACCUCCUUUGCUCACUUCCCUCCCUCCACCUUCCAUUGACGUCACGAAUUCCAUCACCUUCUUCAACGUCUUCUCCCCACUCAUCCACCACCGCAAACCGUAAAUCACCUUCACCGGUGACGAAACCUCUUCACUUCGUCGUCGUCCCCAAAUCACCUCCUUCUCCACCUCCGUCACCUUCGCAACUCACAACCACCAUUUUUCACAAAUCGAACCACCACACCACACGCCAGCGAGCGCUCAAAGCCUUCAAACAAUCCCUCGCCACGUCUCCUUCCGCGCCGCCGCGAUUUCUGAGCGUCGCCGAGUCAUCGCGCCGCCGUCAUCUUCCGAUGAAGCUUAACCGUCCGAAUCCACAAACCCAACCUUCCUCAACCAAUAACGACGGCCUCGCAUCUCCCAUUUUUUAGUAGAGAGUGCUGCGAAGGGUUUUUUAUUAAAUCAGUUCGAGAUCGUGGUACAUGAUGGUGUAAACGGAACACGGAGCAACCACGAAGCAUCGACCGACACACAGCAGUAGCGAGUUCAACACAACACGAUAACAGUCGCCAGCGUAUUGGUUGAAUGGCGGGGUUACCGCGAUUAUUUUCUACUGCGGUUGUUGCCAAUUUUCUUCCACAUAUGUGUUGGAUUGUUAUCAGAAAGCGUUGAAUGGUCUUAGUUUACAUUACAUCCCGACUAUUGUAUGAUUUGAGUUCAUUGCAUUAUGUUUAGAUUUUAAAAUAUGUUUCAUGUGUUUGAAAGUUUGUAAUGAUAUGGUAUGUAUCGUGCUACUGCUAAUUGAUUGUGGCGUCGAAGUCGGAUAUUGCGUGAUGAACGUUUGAAACCGUCAUUUAUACAUGUUUAGAGGGCGCGGCGUUUUUAUUGAUCAUAUUAUACUUUAUUUCAUAUGGCGAUGCGGUAUUUUGAGGUUACCACCAUGUAUUUCUCCUGCUAUUGAUGCUAGCAGGACGUGACUGGGUUUAAUCCAUAACCUCCCAUGUAGGAUUUUGCAUGCUUUGUAGGAAUUUAUGGAUUUUGAAUAAGUUUUGUUUUCUUAUGGAAGCAAUUUAGGUUAGUUGUUAUAGCAGGGUAGGUUAUAUGUUAAUCCUGUUCUUAAUAAUCAUUACUAAAACGUUAAAGUAGCAAUGGCAAAAUAACAAUGAUUGGAAACGUCUCAAGGUGAUAA